AGAAUGAACGUUGGCGGCGUGGAUUAGGCAUGCAAGUCGCGCGCCCCGCAAGGGGAGCGGCGCAAGGGUGAGUAAGGCGACGGUAACCAACCCCCUGGAUGGGCAUAGCCGCGGGAAACUGCGGGUAAUUCCCAGCGAAGUGCGGAGUCGGCAUCGACUCUUCACCAAAGUUCAGGCGCCGGGGGACGGGCCGUCGUGGUAUUAGCUAGUUGGCGGGGUGACGGCCCACCAAGGCGGCGAUGCCUACCGGGCGUGCGAGCGUGGCCCGGCACACUGGGACUGAGACACUGCCCAGACUCUUACGGGAGGCUGCAGUCGAGAAUCUUCGGCAAUGGGCGCAAGCCUGACCGAGCGACGCCGCGUGGAGGACGAAGGCCUUCGGGUUGUAAACUCCGUGUCGGAGGGGGAGGAAGCCGCAAGGUUGACCGAUCCCUGGAGGAAGCACGGGCUAAGUUCGUGCCAGCAGCCGC
Molecule: ribosomal RNA, 470 nt
Filed under: uncultured bacterium
Lineage: Bacteria
Description: SSU rRNA
Rfam family: Bacterial small subunit ribosomal RNA
Source: RNAcentral